UACUCGGUAGUAGUCUUCUCAGCUUGAGCUUCAGCUGGUUCCUCUUCUUCCUUUGCAGCUUCCUCUUUGGGUGCUUCCACUGGGGCGGCUUCGGCUUCUGCUUUUACUUCUUCUUCUGCUGCUGCAGCUACUGCUGCUUCUGUAGACUCUGUGCUUUCUUUGGUUUCUUCAACGGUUGGCUCAGUAGUCUCCUUGGACUCCUCCGCAACUGGCUCUGCUACUGUUUCCUCAGGAGUCUCUUCUUCUUUUUUCUCAACUUCUGGCUCCUCAGUCACAGCCUUGGGCUCUUCAACCACCUCCUUUGAUUCAGUUUCAACUGUGGCUUCAGUUUCUGGAGCCUGGGGUUCUUCGGAUGCUGCUUCAGGCACUGCUUCCUUUGGUUCUUCAGCAACAGGUUCUGUUGCAGGAGCAACAGCC
Molecule: long non-coding RNA, 417 nt
Filed under: Gossypium barbadense (sea-island cotton)
Lineage: Eukaryota; Viridiplantae; Streptophyta; Magnoliopsida; Malvales; Malvaceae
Description: long non-coding RNA (GBAR_LNC020679)
Source: RNAcentral